AGGAUGAACGCUGGCGGCGUGCCUAAAACAUGCAAGUCAUACGGGCUAACCUUCGGGUAGCCAGUGGCAAACGGGUGAGUAACACGUGGGAACGCGCCUCGGGUGGGGAAUAACGCUGAGAAAUCGAGUGCUAAUACCGCAUAUGGUCUAACGACUAAAGCAGCAAUGCGCCCGGAGAGCGGCCCGGCGACCGAUUAGCUAGUUGGUGGGGUAAUGGCCUACCAAGGCGGUGAUCGGUAGCUGGU
Molecule: ribosomal RNA, 245 nt
Filed under: uncultured bacterium
Lineage: Bacteria
Description: partial small subunit ribosomal RNA
Rfam family: Bacterial small subunit ribosomal RNA
Source: RNAcentral